CCACGGCCGCCCAGGCCCCGCCCUGCCACGUCAUCCGGCUCCGGAUCGCGACAGCGCGCGCCGCGUCGGGAUAAAGUUCCGCUAGGGGCCCGCUGGCGGCGGCGUUUCUGGGCCCCUGUGGCCGCUACGGCCUGGCAGGCCUGGGAUGACAAUGCUUGAGGAGCCCUCGCUGGUGCUGCCCUCCUGCCUGCCCUCUGCUUGGAACACCUCCACUAAGUCUAUGAAACUGAGGGUGACAGUGAAGCUAAAAUGGGUCAGAGGUGCCUAGAAGGCCAUGGCUCCCACCCCUGCUGUCAUCCUUGGAACAACAGUCCUAGGAUGAAGGUGGGUAGCUUCAGUCCUAGGGCCAACAGCACAUCUGAGGGAAUCAGGGCUUCUGGGACACAGGCUGCAG
This is a long non-coding RNA of Callithrix jacchus (white-tufted-ear marmoset), 394 nucleotides long. RefSeq lists it as uncharacterized. NCBI's taxonomy places the organism in Eukaryota, Metazoa, Chordata, Mammalia, Primates, Cebidae. The record is from RefSeq and is a predicted model, not a curated record.